ACAUAACGAAAUCGAUAAGGUGCCUUUGCGUGGAGCAAAGGGUAACAGGGAAUCGGGUUCAAAUCCCGAGCGGUCCCGCCACUGUAUUCGGGGAGUUUCUUUCCAUGACGUCACUCGAUUCACCCGUCGGGGAAGGCGAAAGAACACGACGAUCCGAGAGCCAGGAGACCUACCUUAUGGAUGCACCCCAA
This 191-nucleotide non-coding RNA is filed under the name Paenibacillus sp. The record is from RNAcentral. Lineage: Bacteria; Bacillati; Bacillota; Bacilli; Caryophanales; Paenibacillaceae. RNAcentral also lists the same sequence under 1 other name.